AUUCCGUUCUAAAAUCAGGUUUAAAACACAGUCCCAACCAGAAUACCUCCAAAGUUGCCCUUACCGUGCAUUACUGACAAAUCCACCACGGUUUUCUGUUCCAUAUAUUUCCAAAACUACACUCCUCCGUUUAAAAAAUCACUGUUUCUGCAAGAUUGCUACGGUAUCCUGAUCAACUGCAAGUCACCAACUCCCUGUUUUCUGAUUAUACGUUUUUCCCCACCGAGAUACUGAGAAUGGAGUUCCACAUAGACCGGGGAUGCCUCGACUCCACCUGCAUGAGCCUGGUCCACCUGUUCCAGUGCAAAGGCACCAGCUCCGACCAGGCCGCCUCCUAGCGUGCCAGCCGCACCCUGACCGCUACCAAGACCUACUGGUGGAACUGGACGAACACCACCAUCAUCAAGGCCGGCACCAC
Long non-coding RNA from Acanthaster planci (crown-of-thorns starfish), 418 nucleotides. RefSeq lists it as uncharacterized. The record is from RefSeq and is a predicted model, not a curated record. Lineage: Eukaryota; Metazoa; Echinodermata; Asteroidea; Valvatida; Acanthasteridae.